GAUGAAGAACAUAGCGAAAUGCGAUAAGUAAUGUGAAUUGCAGAAUUCAGUGAAUCAUCGAAUCUUUGAACGCACAUUGCGCCCGCCAGUAUUCUGGCGGGCAUGCCUGUUCGAGCGUCAUUUCAACCAUCAAGCCCCCGGCUUGUGUUGGGGACCUGCGGCUGCCGCAGGCCCUGAAAACCAGUGGCGGGCUCGCUAGUCACUCCGAGCGUAGUAGUUACAUCUCGCUCAGGGCGUGCUGCGGGUUCCGGCCGUUAAAAGCCUUAUUUACCCAAGGUUGACCUCGGAUCAGGUAGGAAGACCCGCUGAACUUAAGCAUAUCAAUAAGCGGAGGA
This 335-nucleotide unclassified non-coding RNA is filed under the name soil metagenome. RNAcentral's name for it is "partial contains 5.8S ribosomal RNA, internal transcribed spacer 2, and large subunit ribosomal RNA". The stretch from base 1 to 120 matches the Rfam family "5.8S ribosomal RNA", at positions 35 to 154 of the family's 154-position model. The record is from RNAcentral.